RNAcentral lists this ribosomal RNA (256 nucleotides) under uncultured bacterium. RNAcentral describes it as "partial 16S ribosomal RNA". It matches the Rfam family "Bacterial small subunit ribosomal RNA", at positions 524 to 776 of the family's 1533-position model. The record is from RNAcentral.
GACGUAGGGCGCGAGCGUUGUCCGGAUUUAUUGGGCGUAAAGAGCUCGUAGGCGGCUUGUCGCGUCGUUCGUGAAAACCUGCAGCUCAACUGCAGGCUUGCGGUCGAUACGGGCAGGGCUAGAGUUCGGUAGGGGAGACUGGAAUUCCUGGUGUGAGCGGUGAAAUGCGCAGAUAUCAGGAGGAACACCGGUGGCGAAGGCGGGUCUCUGGACAGUUCCGUGACGCUGAGGCACGAAGGUCAGGGGAGCAAACGGG